This 440-nucleotide ribosomal RNA is filed under the name uncultured bacterium. RNAcentral's name for it is "partial 16S ribosomal RNA". It matches the Rfam family "Bacterial small subunit ribosomal RNA", at positions 338 to 795 of the family's 1533-position model. The record is from RNAcentral.
CCUACGGGAGGCAGCAGUGGGGAAUAUUGCACAAUGGGCGAAACCCUGAUGCAGCGACGCCGCGUGAGUGAAGACGUAUCUCGGUAUGUUAAGCUCUAUCAGCAGGGAAGAAAAUGACGGUACCUGUUUAAGAAGCCCCGGCUAACUACGUGCCAGCAGCCGCGGGAAUACGUAGGGGGCCAGCGUAAUCCGGAUUUACGGGGUGUAAAGGGAGCGUAGUCGGCGGCACAAGUUUGGAGUGAAAUGCCGGGGCUUAACCCCGGAACUGCUUUGGAAACUGUGCAGCUAGAGUGCAGGAGAGGUAAGUGGAAUUCCUGGUGUAGCGGUGAAAUGCGUAGAUAUUAGGAAGAACACCAGUGGCGAAGGCAGCUUACUGGACUGUAACUGACGUUGAGGCUCGAAAGCGUGGGGAGCAAACAGGAUUAGAUACCCCUGUAGUC